RNAcentral lists this ribosomal RNA (439 nucleotides) under uncultured bacterium. RNAcentral describes it as "partial 16S ribosomal RNA". It matches the Rfam family "Bacterial small subunit ribosomal RNA", at positions 339 to 795 of the family's 1533-position model. The record is from RNAcentral.
CUACGGGGGGCUCCAGUGAGGAAUAUUGCACAAUGGGGGGAACCCUGAUGCAGCAACGCCGCGUGGAGGAUGACGCAUUUCGGUGUGUAAACUCCUUUUAUAUGUCAAGAAAAUGACGGUAGCAUAUGAAUAAGCACCGGCUAACUCCGUGCCAGCAGCCGCGGUAAUACGGAGGGUGCAAGCGUUACUCGGAAUCACUGAGCGUAAAGGACGCGUAGGCGGGUUGGAAAGUCAGGUGUGAAAUCCUACAGCUUAACUGGAGAACUGCACUUGAAACUUCUAAUCUAGAGUAUGGGAGGGGGAGAUGGAAUUAGUGGUGUAGGGGUAAAAUCCGUAGAUAUCACUAGGAAUACCUAAAGCGAAGGCGAUCUCCUGGAACAUUACUGACGCUAAGGCGUGAAAGCGUGGGGAGCAAAUAGGAUUAGAUACCCCCGUAGUC